Molecule: ribosomal RNA, 327 nt
Filed under: Aname sp. MYG350
Lineage: Eukaryota; Metazoa; Arthropoda; Arachnida; Araneae; Anamidae
Description: partial 12S ribosomal RNA
Source: RNAcentral
UCUGUGUCAAAAAGGGUAAUACUUUUUAGGAAACCUUUACUUUUUGGCGGCCUUAUUUCUUAUUAAAGGAACUUGCCCUUUAAUCGAAAUUACCCGAUCAGUUUUUCUUCUAUUUUGUUUUUAUACCGUCGUCUAAAGAAUAUUAUUAAACUAAUUACUCCAAACUGAAUAUUCAGGAAAGUCAGAUCAAGGUGAAGCUUAUAUGGGAGAUCAGGGUGAGUUAUACAUUAGUACUACUAAAGGAGUUGUCUUUAAAAAGUUACUCGAAUUAAGAUUCAACAGUACCUAAAAGUUAAUAAUUUUUAGGGAAGAAGUAAAAAAAGGUGU